This 459-nucleotide ribosomal RNA is filed under the name uncultured bacterium. RNAcentral's name for it is "SSU rRNA". It matches the Rfam family "Bacterial small subunit ribosomal RNA", at positions 26 to 518 of the family's 1533-position model. The record is from RNAcentral.
AGAAUCAACGCUGGCGGCGUGCCUAACACAUGCAAGUCGAACGAGAAAGUGGAGCAAUCCACAAGUAAAGUGGCGCACGGGUGAGUAACACGUGACUAACCUACCCUUGAGUGGGGGAUAACCUAGAGAAAUCUGGGCUAAUACCGCAUAAUACCUUCGGGUCAAAGGAGCAAUUCGCUUAAGGAGGGGGUCGCGGCCGAUUAGUUAGUUGGCGGGGUAAUGGCCCACCAAGACUAUGAUCGGUAUCCGGCCUGAGAGGGCGCACGGACACACUGGAACUGAAACACGGUCCAGACUCCUACGGGAGGCAGCAGUGGGGAAUUUGCGCAAUGGGGGAAACCCUGACGCAGCAACGCCGCGUGGAGGAUGAAGUCCCUUGGGACGUAAACUCCUUUCGAUCGGGACGAUAAUGACGGUACCGAGAGAAGAAGCCCCGGCUAACUUCGCGCCAGCAGCCGC